GUAAAUAUUAAUUGUAUGUUUUAGUAGUACUACUUGUAAAGAAAAACAUGCGUUAGUGCUACUCACACAUUAGUAGACUACUAGUUGGACCAACACAGCAUGCUGAACACGCACGCACACGACUUGGCCCUCGCACGCACACUCCUCUCCCUAAUCGAUCCCCAACUCACGCCCGCACGCCCCUGUGACGCUGCCGCCGCCUCCUGCCCUUGCAGCCGCACGCCAGCCAAGUCCGGUGCCGCUGCACCCGCCACAACUCCGCCUCUGCCUCCAGUGAUGUUUCCCCAUGGCCGCAGCGCUCGCCGGCGCCCCCACGCGUAGCCCCGCGAAACCCUAGCCGUGGCUCGGGCUCGCCGUUUGGGGUUCGGCCGUCGCCAUCCGACUACAGAUCCGCCGCAGUUCGGCGAACCUCUGGCUCGUCCUCCUCCGCCGGUUUCCUUCUGCGGUGAUGCUCUACACCCCUGCAUCUACCUCCUGUAACCCCCUUUGAUCCGCCGCCGCAGCUCGGGAUGCUGGUCGGCGACAUUGUCUGGGCUCCUCCCGGUCUUCCGUCCGCACCGACGCCCAAUCUUCAAUUGAGUCGUGCCUCCUGCUGCUUCCUCUAGGGCCUCCACGACUACUGCUACUCGACUUUGGCGGGAUGGCGGUGUAUCUGCAACCCUGGCAUCCGUGUACUUGUACUGGUGGUGUGGUGCUGGUGUGGGGAUGCUGUACUGCUGCUGAUGGUGCUGUAAUACGGUGACUACUUCAUCCUCGACGCCGGCUGGACGGUUCCGCGGACGCACCCCGGCUGAACGGUGCCGCGGACGCAACCCCGGUGUCACCUACCUCGCUACUUCUCUCUGCUGCACUCACUGUGAGCUACUUCUUCUCCCCUCUUUAUUCUGAAUAAUGUGCUAUGUUAAUGUGUGAGGCACUAUUUAAUCUUGUUGAUUACUUGUACCGCAUGGACUUGGGUCGUUUACUUCAGCUAUAGAAAUAAUUCCUAGCCACCAAUUGUGUAGUCUGGGUAAUAAUAUGUUUCCCUGUGCUAGCUGGUUGGCAACUACACAGCAACAUAUUUAGUAUUGAAGGUACUUGGUAUUACUGGGUUGGUCUGAAAGUGGUUACUGGAUCCUAAGUAAUUUCAUAUAGCUUGUUAACUAAAGAAUUUUGUUUUAGUCUGUUUGUAUAUGCACAAGUGCUGGCUUCCGUGGGAAAGCGUUGCUCCAGUUGAUCCAUGCCUUGUGCUUGAUCCAAUGCCUUAACUUGGAUGAGUUAAUCAUCCCUGACUUAGAUGGCUUGUAGUGAUAAUAUGGUGCGAUGUGUUGUUAAAGAAAUAGACAAACUCUUCUACAUUUAGCAAAUGCCUAGUCUUUAUUAUAAGGCCUCCAUUUGGAUGAUUAUUCAUCUCUGGCAUAUAUGGCUGGUGGUAUUGUUAUUACUGAUGCAACUGGAGUUUGACAAUUUCAGUUAACUGUAGGUAUUCAGUUAUGUUUCUGCUUAAUUCGUAUUGGGUUUACAUGUUAUACAAGAAGAAUGUGUUGUGGCGCUCAAAUACGAAAUUUAUUUGAUGGCUUGUUGGUGAAUUUAAACAUGCAUGAUCAAGUUGUAUAAAAUAUCAACUAGUUAACAAGUUGGUCAUGCCAAGUUUAGUGUAGGCCUAAACGCUACAAAAGUGGUGAUGCUGCCUUGUAUUCUUCAGUGUUUUUGCUUCGUUGUUGCUGGACAAGGGUAUGGGUUAUGCACCUAUUUGGAUGAUUUAAUCCUCCAAGCAUAGUUAACUUGUUGUGCUUCUAUUACUGACGAACUGAACAUGCACUAAACUGAUGGCUUAAAUAAUUAAUCUGUGAGAAUGUUUGUGUGAGCCUAAGGCCUAAGCUUUAUCCAGAGCUUGCUGAAAUAGAGUGGUACUCUGACAGUGAUGAUUUCCUAUGGUUGAGUGGUUCAGUUCUUAAUAGAAACCUCCAUUGAAUGCCUUGAGUGCUUGGUGGUGACUAACUUGACAGUUUUAGCUCAGCUCAGUGGCUAAGCACGUCAUGCGUGCCCCGACUGUGAUCUAGUCUUGUAGAUUGAUCUAGCCGUUGUGUUUGUAUUGAUUUUCCAGAUGCAAAUAUGAGCUGGAAUAGAUCCUUGUGAUCUAUACAGGCGAUAUGAACUAUAUGUUGUGUUGCAUAUGGAAAAUAGAUGCUGGUGGUCUAUGAUUGUUUGAUGUUAUACCUUGCUCCAGCUAGCCUCCCAUAACCAUCUUCUUUUGCUUCGAUUGCUUUUGGUUCUUGGUUGGGAUCUACUGGAAUUUUUACUAGGUUGGUUUCAAGGAUCUCCAAAACACAGAAAAGUGGUGUUCUUGUGGUGCUUUGCUUGGUUGAGGUGCUGAGAUGAAUGAGAGCUGCUUAGGCAGUGCUUGGCCGGCAAGAAGCAGCUUUUAUAUGGUCGGCUGGUGUUGCCCUUUGGUCGACAGCACGACCAUGCAUUCUGUGCUUGAAAAUAAUCAAGACGAUCUGAAGAUAAAGUCUUCAAGUUUUAUUUUAUUGGAUUAAUUCUUUUCUUGUAAUAGCUGAUUUGUAAUUGAAAUUCCUUUUCUCUCUUUUAUCCUUUUGUAAAGACAAUGUAUUUUGUGUGCUUAUAUCAAUAAAGAUCAAUGUUUUCCUUA
Molecule: long non-coding RNA, 2632 nt
Organism: Lolium perenne
Lineage: Eukaryota; Viridiplantae; Streptophyta; Magnoliopsida; Poales; Poaceae
Source: RefSeq, a predicted model, not a curated record